CUUUUGUAGCUUUCACAGGAAGCUUCUACCACUGUGUCUAUAGUUACUGCUUUGUUUCUUCCAGAGAAUCCACUGGUCAGAGAAAAGAAGAUGUCAAAAUGUCAGCAUGUGAGCUGGAAACUUGGUCACUAAAGGGAGAAGAUGAAGGACCCAAGAGUGGGGCCUUAGAGGGGACCGGAAAUUGGAAGAAGUUUGUUUUGCUUUGGAAAUCACUGGAUCCCAGUGCUGGACUUGUCAGGGUGGGAUAUCUGUGCCCAGUCUCUGUCUGUAUCCUGUACACCCACCUAGCUGGAGCUGCAGCCCAGCAGUGCACAGGGCUCACUCUGGCAAAGCCCAUUCCCAUAAUUGAAUAUAAUCCUACUGUUACUUCGCAGGUCUUCCGGUCAGAAAAAUAGAGGCAAUUUUCAACACUUGCCUUCAUUUCAUUACUUAGAAAGAAAACGUAGCUAAAGGGGUGAAAAAUAGAAGAGGGAAUUUUGUAGUGUGGUUCCUGGUCCCAGUCUUUUGGGUCACCGUCCACCCAGUUUUGUUUAGCUGUCCUGCCAUACACCCGAGGCAUGUACUUAGGUACACCCAAGACUUACGGCUUUUCGGAGCCUAUUUGUAGCAUGAAGAAUGAGAGUGGCCUGAUGCUCGUCCUCCACGUCUUGUGACACGCUUCACACAAAGACACAUGCGGUCCCAGCCGGCUCGUUUUCCCUUGAACAGAAACUUCGCUCCUUGAUGAUCUCACUUCAGACACUGCUUUCCCUAAACCUCUCCUUGACUGGAAUCAUGCUAAUGUUGACAGCUCUCCCCACCCCCACCGCUUUGUUACAUCCUGCAAGCCAGGGAUAAUGGGAGGUGAGCUUGUCGGGGAAGAUGAAAGAUGGCAAGAAAUGGGUGUUUGGGGACCAGUUCUUUGGUGACAUGGACUCUGCAACCCUUUUUUCCCUCUCAGUACCUUCCUCUCUCUCGCCUUCUCCCUCUCCCUCACUCCCCCUUCCUGCUCUCCCUCUCAUUCUCUCUGAAAUGGUGUGUGCCUCCAGUAAUUUACAUAAUACUCUUCUGACACCUUUACUUUAGUCAUCAAUCACGGUACCUUCUCUCAG
RNAcentral lists this long non-coding RNA (1091 nucleotides) under Fukomys damarensis (Damara mole-rat). RNAcentral's name for it is "lncRNA (ENSFDAG00000028369.1)". The record is from RNAcentral. Lineage: Eukaryota; Metazoa; Chordata; Mammalia; Rodentia; Bathyergidae.